ACUUGUUAAAGACGUGAUUGGCUGAAGAAAGCCCAGAUUAAGGGGUUGGAGCUCAUUAGUAAUAAGAGAAGGAUUUCCAUUCACUUAAUAGUGACCAGCAUUUGGGAAGACUGAGGAGAGACAGUGAAAAUGCAAAAAAACAUCUGAAUUUUAGGAAGUAGAAGUUGAAAACAAUCUGUGUUACUUGCAUGGAAACCACAGAGAAGGAUACAUUAGAGAAAGUGCACAGUUGAAGAUAGACUCCCUGUGUGUGACAUGGAUUAAUUCUAUGAAUGGGGCAAGUUUACCAGCCAUGUGACUGUUUCAGCACAGAACUGUCGACAGGAGUCUUCAAGGCAGACUCUGGACAAUAGCAAGCUGUUACUGCCACCCUCAUCUCGUAGAAGUAAAGGGCAUUGGAGGAAGAUGUUGAGCAUCAAUCAUGUGCACACAAAGAUGCAGAGCUUAGAGUUCAACCCAAGUUAUCUGAUGGGUCCAUGCGGGAGGCUCACCUGGAUGCACCUGCCACUCCUGUCCGGCUCCUGGUGGAGUCUCUACUGCUGCUGCCGUGCUGACAGGCAAGCCCCAGGCUCUGCCUCAGGGCCUGAGCCCCUGACCCAGGGCUGGCUAGCUCUCUUCUGUCUCCUGCCUGUCUCUGAGACUGUGGGGUCCAGACCCGAGGAUGCUACAGGAGGAGUCAACUCUUGACAUCACACCAUCAGUGUCCAAAUCCCAGCCUCCAGUCCUUCUUGGUUCUGUCAGCAUCCUAUAGGUCUUCAUCAUGUCAAAGCAGGAGAUACAGCAUGGAUAAACAGAGGAUGGGUAAUCACAUGGAGGAGAACUGAAGAGUCUCAGCUGGCAUCCAGUACCAAGUGCUGCACAUUUGAGUGAGGACAACUUGGACCCUCCGGCCACAGAGAAGCCUUCAGAUAAUCGCAGCCUGAAUGAUCCCAGGAGAUCCAGCCAGGGGUUUGGAGGCCCAAUGGAUGGUGGCAUUGCAAGAAGUGUUGCGGGAUUUUUUUUUUUUUUACCUCAAAAUGCAGGGUUCGUUGUCAUGCUGCUUUGAAGAAUGAAGAGGAGGACACUAGGAUUACUAAGUACGAAUAGUGUGAAAGCUCUCUUUACAGAGAGGGGGCUUUACAGAGAAAGGUCCUUGUUUUAUAAGGUUCUGGUCAGCCUUCC
Molecule: long non-coding RNA, 1161 nt
Organism: Suricata suricatta (meerkat)
Lineage: Eukaryota; Metazoa; Chordata; Mammalia; Carnivora; Herpestidae
Exons: 5
Source: RefSeq, a predicted model, not a curated record